UCUUUCUCUCUUUCUCUCUUUCUCUCUCAAUAUCGAUGGCGAUUCAUGUCGAAGGGUUGAUUUCAGAGGAGAGUAGCCACCAAAAUCGUCUUCUUAGCCGUCGUAAUCAUCAUCUCCGGCUGUCGUUGCGAGCUGUUUCCACCGGAGUUAGGGUUCUUUGGCCACAGAAAUCGACAUCUGUUGUGGUGAAAGAAAUCGAGGGAUUUUUUGUUCUCUGAUGCUCCAAUCUCUCUGUAAUGGUUUUUUUACAAUGCCUCAGCUCGUCAGUAGAAUUGGGGUCAUUGGUGUGACCUUAAUGGCUGUCUUAUCUGGAUUUGGAGCUGUAAAUUUACCCUACAGCUAUAUAUUCCUCUUCAUUAGGGAGAUUGAAGAAGCAGAUAUAAUAUCUUUGGAAAGGCAACUGAUGCAGUCA
Capsella rubella is the source of this 412-nucleotide long non-coding RNA. RefSeq lists it as uncharacterized. Lineage: Eukaryota; Viridiplantae; Streptophyta; Magnoliopsida; Brassicales; Brassicaceae. The transcript has 3 exons. The record is from RefSeq and is a predicted model, not a curated record.